CACUAGCGCGUACUACGUGUUUGUGUGGUUGGUCGUCUGUUUUUAUGCAUGUUAACUUUUGAGGCUGGCGGUGCCGUCGUCGUGUGUAAAGCUGUAAAGCAGAGCCCAGUUCUUCAGAAAAAUGCGCCAGCUGAAAGGGAAAGUGAAAGAGACAAACAAGCAAAAGAAAGAAAGGAAGAAGGAGUUCAUUGAGAAUAAGAAGCGUGUUUUUACACUUGUUUUACCUACAUUGGCAGCUACUUUUCUAAUGAUUUGUCUUUAUGUAUAUUUCAAGACAAGACCAAAGACAAAUAUUGAUUACUAACAAUGUAGAGCAUUGUGAAAAAUGUGCUUCUGUCAUAAGCUAUAAUAUUCAUAAAAAUGCAGCUCAUAGCAAAUGACAAAUUUUUAUGUCUGGGACCAAAUAUAUUUACAUAAAAUAUAUAUUUAUUUACAAGAACAUUUUCAUAUACAAAUAUUUUCUUAUAUAUUUUAUAUUUCAACAGUGGAAUAAAGGUGGAAUAUUUUGUCA
Long non-coding RNA from Schistocerca gregaria, 511 nucleotides. RefSeq lists it as uncharacterized. Lineage: Eukaryota; Metazoa; Arthropoda; Insecta; Orthoptera; Acrididae. The transcript is spliced from 2 exons. The record is from RefSeq and is a predicted model, not a curated record.